Molecule: ribosomal RNA, 561 nt
Filed under: uncultured bacterium
Lineage: Bacteria
Description: bacterial SSU rRNA
Rfam family: Bacterial small subunit ribosomal RNA
Source: RNAcentral
GGGCACCUGAUCCAUCCAUGCCGCGUGCGGGAAGAAGGCCUUCGGGUUGUAAACCGCUUUUGUUCGGGAAGAAAUCGUUCUCGCUAAUACCGAGGGCGGAUGACGGUACCGGAAGAAUAAGCACCGGCUAACUACGUGCCAGCAGCCGCGGUAAUACGUAGGGUGCAAGCGUUAAUCGGAAUUACUGGGCGUAAAGCGUGCGCAGGCGGUUUCGCAAGUCAGAUGUGAAAGCCCCGGGCUUAACCUGGGAACUGCAUUUGAAACUACGAGGCUAGAGUGUGUCAGAGGGGGGUAGAAUUCCACGUGUAGCAGUGAAAUGCGUAGAGAUGUGGAGGAAUACCGAUGGCGAGGGCAGCCCCCUGGGAUAACACUGACGCUCAUGCACGAAAGCGUGGGGAGCAAACAGGAUUAGAUACCCUGGUAGUCCACGCCCUAAACGAUGUCAACUAGUUGUCGGGGGAGCAAUUCCUUGGUAACGCAGCUAACGCGUGAAGUUGACCGACUGGGGAGUACGGUCGCAAGAUUAAGACUCAAAGGAAUCGACGGGGACCCGUACAAGCG